GAGGGAAUUAAAUCAUAGUGAAUUUCAUUAGGUUUUCUGAGAUUUGGUUCCAUCAGGUCAUCUAGCAGCUUCAAUCACUCACCAACAAUAUCCAAAAUAAAUUCUUCAAAAAUAAAAUAAAUUGUGGAAUUGAUGAAGCUUAAUUGGCUUCGCCUCAUUCAAUUCAGUCUUCCCUUGUGGUGGUCAUAUCAGAUCAGAUAGAGGGAUGAGAUCAAUCCUCAUUUUCUCAGGGAGCUACUAGUUCUCAGUGCAUUUCUUAACGUUGAUGGUGUAUAUUUGCAUAACUAUUGGUGCCGCCGCUCUGACCACACGGAAGACGCCGCCGCACUUGAACUCGACUCAAUAUAUAUUAUUAAUUAACUUGCACAUUUUGCAACAUUUUAAAUUUGCAGCCGUUAAAUAUGGUGUUAUGGUCAAGCUUAAUUACUAUAUAUCUAGUUUUCUAUAAGAUUAAUGUUGUGUUAACUUAUUUUAA
Molecule: long non-coding RNA, 475 nt
Organism: Ipomoea nil (Japanese morning glory)
Lineage: Eukaryota; Viridiplantae; Streptophyta; Magnoliopsida; Solanales; Convolvulaceae
Exons: 3
Source: RefSeq, a predicted model, not a curated record